This 443-nucleotide ribosomal RNA is filed under the name uncultured bacterium. RNAcentral's name for it is "SSU rRNA". It matches the Rfam family "Bacterial small subunit ribosomal RNA", at positions 26 to 518 of the family's 1533-position model. The record is from RNAcentral.
AGGAUGAACGCUGGCGGUCUGCUUAACACAUGCAAGUCGAACGGAGUAGCAAUACUUAGUGGCGGACGGGUGAGUAACGCGUGAGAAUCUACCUUCAGGACGGAGACAACAGUUGGAAACGACUGCUAACCCCCGAUGUACCGAAAGGGCAAAUAUUUAUAGCCUGAAGAAGAGCUCGCGUCCGAUUAGCUAGUUGGAGAGGUAAAAGCUCACCAAGGCGACGAUCAGUAGCUGGUCUGAGAGGAUGAUCAGCCACACUGGGACUGAGACACGGCCCAGACUCCUACGGGAGGCAGCAGUAGGGAAUCUUGCGCAAUGGGCGAAAGCCUGACGCAGCCAUGCCGCGUGAAUGAUGAAGGUCUUAGGAUUGUAAAAUUCUUUCAGCGGGACGAUAAUGACGGUACCCGCAGAAGAACGCCCGGCUAACUCGCGCCAGCAGCCGC